GACGAACGCUGGCGGCGCGCCUAACACAUGCAAGUCGAACGAGCGAGAGAGAGCUUGCUUUCUCGAGCGAGUGGCGAACGGGUGAGUAACGCGUGAGGAACCUGCCUCAAAGAGGGGGGACAACAGUUGGAAACGACUGCUAAUACCGCAUAAGCCCACGGUGCCGCAUGGCACAGAGGGAAAAGGAGCAAUCCGCUUUGAGAUGGCCUCGCGUCCGAUUAGCUAGUUGGUGAGGUAAUGGCCCACCAAGGCGACGAUCGGUAGCCGGACUGAGAGGUUGAACGGCCACAUUGGGACUGAGACACGGCCCAGACUCCUACGGGAGGCAGCAGUGGGGAAUAUUGCACAAUGGGGGAAACCCUGAUGCAGCGACGCCGCGUGGAGGAAGAAGGUCUUCGGAUUGUAAACUCCUGU
RNAcentral lists this ribosomal RNA (414 nucleotides) under uncultured bacterium. Its description in RNAcentral is "bacterial SSU rRNA". It matches the Rfam family "Bacterial small subunit ribosomal RNA", at positions 28 to 436 of the family's 1533-position model. The record is from RNAcentral.